Aethina tumida (small hive beetle) is the source of this 569-nucleotide long non-coding RNA. RefSeq lists it as uncharacterized. The record is from RefSeq and is a predicted model, not a curated record. NCBI's taxonomy places the organism in Eukaryota, Metazoa, Arthropoda, Insecta, Coleoptera, Nitidulidae. The transcript has 2 exons.
UCCAGUUUUUGACUAUGAAAUUUGUGUUGAAAAAAUUUCUACUAAUUAACAAAUAGUUUCUAAUAGAAUAAACUGUUUCAUUGCAUCAUAAUUCUUUGGUCUAUGUUCAAUACAAUCGGCCCGGCCCAGUUUAUUGUUAUUGAGGUGCUGCCCGAAUACGUGCCAGCAUCCAUCCCUCCUAAGGCAGAUCGAAGAAGUGCUGUAAGUGAAAAUGGUGCCGCGUCGGCUUAAAUAGCGACGGAACAAUUUCAGGUAAGGAUAGUUGAGAUUGAUUGGGAGCGUCGGCAACCAGGUGAAGCUGACUGUGGUCGAUUCCAUUGGCUAAAAUAAGCUGGAGCAGAAUCGAUUAAAAUAUCUGGGAGGUAAUGUGCCAUCGGCAAACAGCUGUUGGUGCGCUCUCUCUCGAUCAGGUAAGCGACGGCAAUCAAAAACUGAAACAUGGUGGAUUGGAACAUAUUUCUCCAUGGAUGACCGUCUAUCAGAUUUAUUUUAAAUCGUGUGUGAAAAUUGUUAUUAAUUUUUUUGUUAUGGAUUGUUAAAAUUGAAUAUUAAAUUUGAGGUGAAAGCAA